This is a long non-coding RNA of Balaenoptera acutorostrata (minke whale), 1505 nucleotides long. RefSeq lists it as uncharacterized. Lineage: Eukaryota; Metazoa; Chordata; Mammalia; Artiodactyla; Balaenopteridae. The transcript has 4 exons. The record is from RefSeq and is a predicted model, not a curated record.
CUCUGGUGUACGAGGAUUUGUGAAGGCCUGCAGUUGGCAGAAUGAAUCUGUGGAGAUGGUUUAAAAGAACGGUUUCACUGAUGAAGAUGAAGAAAGACCAUCUUCUCUGGGACUUGGGCUGUCACGCGUAUUAGGUGCACAGAAUGGAACCUGUCCCACUGUAGGUGCCCGAGAAGUCUUUGUUAAUUUGAAUUCCCGCCCGAUGGAAUUGUUACUCUAGUACCGCAUUUCAGCAAGGCUCUUCUCGAUCAAAUAGCACAAUAUCAAACAGGUCUGGCCACGUGGCACUAAUGGACAACCCAUACAUUUGGAGAGACUCCAAGAAAUCCAUCCCAAGCACUGAAUGCUCCUGGCCCUGUUCCAGAAUUUCACUAACCUUCCACAAAUUGUGAUUCCAGACACGUUCUUACCUUGGCCCCCAGGAUAAUGGAAGCCACAAAAGAGACAGAAAUUAAAAUGUCAGCCCAGCUGGGCCCACAGCAAUUUCAAUGGAACCCAUUGCCUCUUCGAUCACCUGAGUGUAGCACAUCUGUGCCGCUUGCAGAAGGGAUAGCAAAAUAAUCCAGAGCAGUUAUUUUAGAUGUCUCUUUAACUCAGUGUUAACACAGUUGCUACUUAACAACAGCAACUAAGAUUUUAAUAAGCGACAGGAAAAUUUUUAAAAACAAGGUGAGAAGCAGAGAUCAGAAUUCUGAUGAGCUUUGUAAUUCAGCAACCACUGCCAUCACUCAAAACCUAAAUAACCUGAAAUAUAUGAUCAAGGCUGGAGCGGCAAGUAAAAGAAAGUGUUGUUAUUCUCUGCCUGAGAAAAGGGUAUCACCCAAACCUUUUCACCUACUGCAGAUUCUGAAAGACGAGUAGUAUGCCAUGUCACUAUGGACAGAGAAAAGGAUGUCCACAGCCAAGGUGACAUCUGAGAGGUCAUAUACUUUGUGGGAUCAUGAUAGAAGUUCAAAACAUCAACCUGAGAAAAAUAAGUGAAACUGAUGACCAAGUGGGAAGUAUGGGUGGCACAAGGGAUUAAAUGGUGUGGGAAUCAAGACAUUGCUAAUCUCCUCACUUCCUCCUUUUUUUAUUCUUUAUAGACCCAGCCACUGAUAGGAGCUGCUGAUUUCACGUGAAGUGAUCUGUUGCUUUUUGUGCUCUGAAGGUGCUGAUUUCCAGUGUCUGCAAUGUCACAUCCAUGAGUUCUUCCAGCUUUGAAACUGAGCGCUCCAAGCAAGAGGAUCCCUUCUGCUGCUAUGCCAGGGAAACACUGAGAUUACUUCGGCCAAAAUAACAUUUCAGCCAGUUGACAUCCUAACUCAGAGAGGCAGCUAGUCAUAUUAACAAAGAAAACGAUGUUUGGUCAUAAAGGAGUGUGAUGAAACUUUCGCUUUAUCUUUUUCUAUCUCAAUACAACAAUAUGGAGACGAGUUAUUUUCUUAAAGUACUUGUCACCUGCUUGGUGAUUGUCAUUUUACUUGGCUGCCUUCUCUGCGAGAUUAUAGGCUUCAUAAGGACAG